RNAcentral lists this non-coding RNA (217 nucleotides) under Paramoeba aestuarina. Lineage: Eukaryota; Discosea; Flabellinia; Dactylopodida; Paramoebidae. The record is from RNAcentral.
GCUUUGCUCUGGGGCUGAGGAUGCAACUGUUCGAUUGUGGGAUCUUGAAAGCAAAAAAGAGAGGGGAAGGGUGUCUCUUCCUGAUGCAGUCAACAGCGUUGCGUUUCACCCAAAAGAUGCUCAGUGCUUGUUCGCCUCAAGUGAGGAGAAGGUCUACCAACUAACCAUUGGUCAAAGCAAAAAAAAAAAAGGGCGGUCCAGAGGAGGAGAACGAACC